GGCAUGGCGCUGCUACACAUGCAGUCGACGAUGAACCACUUCGGUGGGGAUUAGUGGCGAACGGGUGAGUAACACGUGGGCAAUCUGCCCUGCACUCUGGGACAAGCCCUGGAAACGGGGUCUAAUACCGGAUACUGACCCGCCUGGGCAUCCAGGCGGUUCGAAAGCUCCGGCGGUGCAGGAUGAGCCCGCGGCCUAUCAGCUUGUUGGUGAGGUAACGGCUCACCAAGGCGACGACGGGUAGCCGGCCUGAGAGGGCGACCGGCCACACUGGGACUGAGACACGGCCCAGACUCCUACGGGAGGCAGCAGUGGGGAAUAUUGCACAAUGGGCGAAAGCCUGAUGCAGCGACGCCGCGUGAGGGAUGACGGCCUUCGGGUUGUAAACCUCUUUCAGCAGGGAAGAAGCGCAAGUGACGGUACCUGCAGAAGAAGCGCCGGCUAACUACGUGCCAGCAGCCGCGGUAAUACGUAGGGCGCGAGCGUUGUCCGGAAUUAUUGGGCGUAAAGAGCUCGUAGGCGGCUUGUCGCGUCGGUUGUGAAAGCCCGGGGCUUAACCCCGGGUCUGCAGUCGAUACGGGCAGGCUAGAGUUCGGUAGGGGAGAUCGGAAUUCCUGGUGUAGCGGUGAAAUGCGCAGAUAUCAGGAGGAACACCGGUGGCGAAGGCGGAUCUCUGGGCCGAUACUGACGCUGAGGAGCGAAAGCGUGCGGAGCGAACAGGAUUAGAUACGCUGGUAGUCCACGCCGUAGACCGUGAGCACUACGUGUCGCCCGACAUUUCCCCGUCGAGAUAUGCCGCAAUUUACGCCUUUAACUGCGCGAAUCUCGGGGACUCCCCGUCGCAAAUGUU
RNAcentral lists this ribosomal RNA (850 nucleotides) under Streptomyces sp. NEAE-32. RNAcentral describes it as "bacterial SSU rRNA". It matches the Rfam family "Bacterial small subunit ribosomal RNA". Lineage: Bacteria; Bacillati; Actinomycetota; Actinomycetes; Kitasatosporales; Streptomycetaceae. The record is from RNAcentral.